Molecule: non-coding RNA, 935 nt
Organism: Epinephelus lanceolatus (giant grouper)
Lineage: Eukaryota; Metazoa; Chordata; Actinopteri; Perciformes; Serranidae
Source: RefSeq, a predicted model, not a curated record
GAAAGAUGUCUCAAGAAUCCCUUUAAAGGAGCCACCAGUGUGCCCAGGGACAGAUGAGCAGCAUCCAGAGACCAGCACUCGUCCCCUGCCCGGAGUCUGAGGAGCAGUGAACUGAAGAGUUGAUGUGUUCAGAAGCCAACUGCCUGGGUGCUCCACUGUCCUCGCAAUUGGGUUCCACCUUUUUGGUUCCGUCAACAUCACAUUCCCCUCGCUCAUGUGGUGAAUGCAUGCAGUUCAUCGGCUCAGAGAUGCAGCUGCCUGUGCUCCUUGAUGCAAACAGUGAAAUAUCUUAAAAACAGUCCUGAUGUGAAGGCUCGGCCCUCUGCAGGCCUCCAUCACAGACACACAGACAGUUUAAACUGCUAGCAAUUGCCUCAAACAGGUGUAAAUACUCGUCCAGUGAACGCCUCAUGCUGCCACGAUGGAACACGGAUCCAGCUGGAAGAACAAGUGCUGUGUGGGUUCCCUGAAGUGGUGCAACACUGGGUCACUGGAGAGCCACAACGUGUUUGGGAACAGAACAGUCUGUGUUAUUUCAGCACAGCCUGUUGGAUGAAGGGCCAUUUCACAGGCAUUAUGGAUUAAUCUUUGGCAGGAUCUCCCCAGGAUCAAACAAAACUGGAUGUUUAACCUCACGUGUCCUAGAGCUGAGAGGUCUCUUGUGAUAAACCAGGAUAGGGAGGAUUGAGUCUGACCCACAUUGGGUUAAACAUCACAUACUUGUAAAUUUAUUUGAACUGACUCCUUAUGAAAAGAUGAAAAUAUAAUGUGUAUACACAUCCUUCCUCAGACGUAAUCCAAACCCUGAGAAAUGAUUAAAUUCAUAACAUUAUGCUCCACUAGUGCAAAAGAAGACAGUGAGAGGCCUCUGUCAUCUGUGUUUUACACAAAUCUACUUCAUUAUUUUUGUUAUAAAUAAAAUACAAAUGAAUAUA